UUUGACUCAGAUGAUGAAGAUUACUCAUAUGAUGAUGAGACUGAUGAUGAUGGCCAUGUUGUCAGGAGGAAGAGCCAGUACAUCAGGUAUAACCCCAAAGCAGAUAUUCCCAUAUUCUGUUUAGGAAUGGUUUUCAGGAGCAAGAGCCAUAUGAAAAAGGCACUAAUAAAGUAUGGGCUAUUGACAUUUAGGAGUAUUAUUUUCAUGAGGUCAGAGGAUGAAAGUAUUAGGGCUGAGUGUGGCUGGCCUGGAUGUCCAUGGCUCAUAUAUGGUGCAAAGAGGUGUUCCAGGUUUCAGGUUCUAACAUAUGAGGAUGAACAUAUGUGUGCUCCUAACAUGGACAAUCACCUUGUAACUGCAAAAGUCAUUGCUAGAAGGUAUGAGCAUAUCUUAAGGGCUAAUCCCACUUGGAAGAUUGAAAGCAUUAAGGCUACUGUUCGUAAGGUUUUCUUUGCUGAUGUAUCAACAUCAAAGUGCAAGGCUGCAAAAAAGAUAGUGUCACAGAAGUUGUUAGAAGGGAUGAAAGAGGAGUACACCAAGGUCUUUGACUAUCAGCUAGAGUUGUUGAGGAGCAAUCCUGGUAGUACCAUUCUUGUUGGACUAGAUCCUGAAUAUAUGGAUCAGAAUAUCUUCCAAAGAUUCUAUGUUUGUUUUAGUGCUAUUAAAAAGGGGUUUAAAGCAUGUAGAAGGGUGAUUGGGCUUGAUGGUUGUUUCUUCAAAUGA
RNAcentral lists this ribosomal RNA (723 nucleotides) under Triticum aestivum (bread wheat). Its description in RNAcentral is "partial small subunit ribosomal RNA". Lineage: Eukaryota; Viridiplantae; Streptophyta; Magnoliopsida; Poales; Poaceae. The record is from RNAcentral.